Long non-coding RNA from Planococcus citri (citrus mealybug), 4838 nucleotides. RefSeq lists it as uncharacterized. The record is from RefSeq and is a predicted model, not a curated record. The transcript is spliced from 9 exons. Lineage: Eukaryota; Metazoa; Arthropoda; Insecta; Hemiptera; Pseudococcidae.
GAUCGAGACUGCAGAUUUGGUAUUUAUUUCAUUUAAAUGAGUGAAAACUCGUUGCCGAUUUUUAGUUCGAUGAGAUUUUCGUUUUAUUGUGUUGAGGUUAGUUGUGAAUUUUCAUGUUUGAGAUAGCAUUGUGUCUUGUAUUGUAGAUGUAGAUGAAUCAUAGCUACUCUGGCCAGUCGUAGUCGAUUACUCAACAGCACAAUAAUUCCUGCCGCUGCGGCUGCUCUGUUGUCGCUAUUAUUGAACACCCUGUGCUUGAUGAUCACGUUCUAACUAUAGGGUUGUUCGUUAGUCUUUUGAUUCGUGUUUUUUUUUUCAAUUAAUUUUUAUUUCUUUUCUUCGUGGUUUUCUCAUUAUUGACGUAUGUAGGUAGGUAAUGAAGUAUUUAUUUAUUUUCGUGGUUUUUACACUUUGUUUUUUUUUUCUGCUGACUCAUGUUGGACGUAUCUACUGAACAUUUAACGAAGAAAGGUUUCGAUAUAGUGAUCGCUGAUCGCGAAGGAAAAGAAACGAAAAAGUAGGUAAUGCGAAUCAGAUGCUCAUCAACAUAUUUUGUAUCGUACUCGUACCUGAAAUUGUCAGAGAUGCGAAAGAGUUCCACUGGUACAGAAUGUAAUACUCAAGGAUAAUACUGACGAAAAAGUGGCCAUCAUGAUCACGAAGAAAACAAAAAAAUGAAUACCUAUGUAAAAGAUGUUUGUCGAAGGAUUUCAUAAUCUAGCUAAGUAACGUAAUUAUUUGUCGAAGAUGGAAGCAGUUUCACCUUGAACAUAUGACGAGAAAAAAUGCUGACGAUAAUGGCAAAGUAGACGAAAACUGAAUAGAUUCGUAAAACAUGCUCGUCGAAGGAUUUUCCAACAUAAUUGUCGAAGAUGGAAGCAGUUUCCCUUGCUGAACAUAUGCGACGAGAAAAAAUGCUGGCAAUAAUCACAAAGGAAAAGAAAAAAUGAAUUGAUUCGUAAAAGAUGCUCGACGAAGAAUUGAACAACGUAAUUGUCUCGCGAAGAUGGAAGCAGUUUCCCUGGCUGAUAUUCAAGUUUUUCAACAUUGAGGAGGAGCUGGCGACUUUGAACGUUUUUAUCGAGUUACAAUAAGAACAAGAUUAAAAUUUCAGCAGCAACCAAAUCGAUUUACCUACUUCAUCUGGAUAAUAUAUUGUAUACUUUUAAGCGUACGUGAGAUAUUUCCCCUCCCUCCGAAGAUGAAUUGGACGCGAUUUUUGGAAUUUCUGCUAGGAUUGGAUUGGAUCGGAUCGGGUAUUGUCUUGGCAGUUAUAGGCGAAUUAGCGGUCAUCAUUGUCCGUCGGUGAUGGCCACUAAUUGAAGUGCCUCCGCAUGAUUGUGGAUGACGGAUAUGAGCCGGAUGAUUGGUCAACGUGGCGACUUACUCAGAUGGACUUCCUGACACGAAUUGUGCUUCCGUGCUGGUGGAUGCUGAUUUCGUUGCGUAUCCGAGCCGUGGCGAGAUCAUUAAAGGUAUUCCACCUGGCCAUUCUCCUAUCUGGUCAGCUUGGGUACGGUUGGAGAGAAAGUCUGCUAUAUGGUCUGUGUUAGUUGGGGUUGAAAUUCUAAGUGUUUUUUCUGUUGAAAAUUUCUAAAUUUUGUCUUGCUUUUUUAUUUUUUAUUUAUUUAUUUUUUUUUUCAAUUCAAUCAUUAUUUUUGGCUUUAUAUUUUCUUACAUUCUGUUCUCCCGUCUCUAUAAAAGGUGUAAACAAUUUUUACGGGUUGGUUUCAAUAUAAGGCAAGUAUGGAGUGUGAUGAGUUUUCUAUGUAAAUUUCAUUUUUUCCAUUUUUUUAUUUUUUUUUAUUUUUUCAUCAAAGUUGUCCCUGUGCAUAACUUAUGUCCAACUUUACCAGAUCGUCUCGGUGGCCCAAGGGAAUUGUCGCCGGCGGGCCUGUGGAGUACUGGUAAUGCAAAAUUACAUUUUUUUCCUGCACAUUCUCUUGAUUUUCGCGAAAAGAUCGCAACUUUCGAGUGGAGGAGUUGCGCAACCGGCUCAUGUCUUGGACGUUAUGGCGUAGCCUCCGCGUGUCCCAUGAGAUCCCACUCGCUCAGCAGCAACAGUCUGGAUAAGCCAACUUUACCGCUUCGCAAUGCCAUUAAUCGGGUUGGCGGUACUGCAAAAAGCUGCACUUUAGGUUUUUGGACCGCGCGUAAAGAUCGCUACGCUCGAGGGAAGACGUAGCGCAGGUUCUCCUGGACGUACCCGGUAUCGAUACUGGCGCGGGUUCCUUGAGAAAUCCUCUUCCCUCAACCCAUUCUCAGUCCUUUGGGUGGGGUAUUCUUAUUCAUGAUGAUGCGUGAAGGGGUAAAGUAGGACGGACUUACUUUGCCAAGAUGGAGAGAAUGUGGUCUUCUAAUUGAAUGCAACGAAAAAAUGAACGUACGUGAAUGAUGCUCGUCGAAGGAAUUUCACAAAGUAAUUGUCGAAGAUGGAAGCAGUUUUCUCUGAACAUGUGACAAGAAAAAAAUGCUGGCAAUAAUUGCAAAGGAAAUGAAAAAAUGAAUAGAUUUGUAAAAGAUGCUCGUCAAAGGAUUUUACAACGUAGUUGUCGAAGAUGGAAUCAGUUUCCCAAUUGCUGAUCUAAAAAUGGAAUUCAGAUGCAGAUUCUAUCUACGUACGUGUGAUAUCAUCAGCUCCAGAAUAUUCUCCAGCUUCGAACGUGCGACACCUAACUAAUAUCUCUCGCCUCCCUCUCGCCUGACCAGUUUCAAAUUUUACGUGAUCAGCUUUUAACGGAAUAACCAGCGCAGCGUGUGACGAUUUUAUUCGGCGGAACCGCGGAAUUCUACCGAGCUUCGAGAAGCGCUUUUCUGUAUGUACGUACAAUGUUUGUAAAUUGAACUUGUCGCCCUUCCCCUCUCCCUUCAUCGCAGCAUGUGGCGCGUUGGCUUACGAGCUUUACAUAUACCUACGUACGAUGGACCGCGAUACAGCGCGGAAUAAUAAUUAUUGAAGAGACUUACCAGUUCGCUGAACGAUAUUCUGACGUGCAAUUUUCAUCACGUGCGAAUUUUUUGAUUGGUCAAUGGUCAUCGUUGCUCUCACUGACGUGAGCUAUACUUUUGAACGCAGCACUUGAGCGUGAUAAUUUUAGCUGCCACGAUUAUUCCAGUUUGAAGAACUGUAUUUUACGCAUGCGAAUAUUUGUAAAUGUGAUUAUGCCCUCACCUGCUAUUUGGAUUGAAUAGUUCUUCUAUGUUGAGAACUUGCUGGAACGUUCGCUGAUUUGAUUAUGAGUAGUACUUUCCUAUACUUGUACCGCUACUUAUCGAUUUUAUGGAUUAUUCGAGCGGAUAUUUUGACGUUUUAUUCGCGAUGAGCUCCUUUUUUUUCCAAUUGAUGGAUGAAUAUCCAAGGGCAAUCCUAUGAAGGUUUGAUGAGUUAGGUGAUGCUUUUCUCUAGUCUAGUUUUUUUUUCUGAGUAGAGUAGGGAUAAUGGGAUAUAGAAAAGUAUUUUUUUUUUCAACUGUCUGUCUUUAUGAUAGGGUGAAUAUUAGUUGGGAUGUUAUUUUUAGGAUAGAAAUGCAACAACAAUAUUCAUUUCGAACGAUUAUUUUUGGCUGUAGUUUUUCGAGACUUUAAUCAAAUCAUGCUGUUUUUUUUUUUUUUUGAAAAUUGGAUAUGUACUUACUGCAAUAUUUUGGAUCAAAAUUGAAAAAAUGUUGGGGCGGUUUGUAUUUGGCUAUUUUCAAAAUUUUGUUGUAAGUGACGCGCCGAUGUUGGUAUCUGGUCAACCUGGAGACCUCACAACAUCGGAAGAGACCCGGAGGGUUUUGCGAUGCCUACUGCGAUCGUCCCCGGCAUCCGGGAUACCAAGGCGGCAUGGUAGGGUCGCAUUAAACGAAGGGUAAUGAGGGAUGGUAGAAUUUACACGUUUAACUAGAUAUCUAACAUUGUUCGAAUCGCAGGUCGAAAGGUCUUUUGAUCGUCUCGGUGGCGUUCUUUGUGGUACCUCAUGUGCGACUUUUUCCUUCAAAAACACACUGUGACGUGUGAUUUUUGGAGCGAACGAGUCGUAUACGAGUUCUCCAAGGCGUCGUCGGGCGAUUUGUGGUGCGUGAAAGUGCGUGUGUUGAAGCUGCAGGUGAGUGUAGGGAAUUGAGAUACUGUUCCGGAGAGUCGGGCCCGACAAAGGGUUCGAUUGUCUGGACUGUUGAGAGUGCGAGAAGAGCGGAUGUCGAUCUGGAUUUUUAUGCUUUGUUACGAAUCUAGUGAACGUGUAAGGUCUUUCCGUCAUCGUAUUGGGGUAGAGAAAUAAUCAAAAAUAAUUAAACUAUUAAAAUGAUUAGCAUCGAACUUUCUAUAGGAAUGUGUUUUAGUCAUCAGUGGUCGGAUGGUGGGAGAUUACUGGGGUUCGAUUUUGGUACUUUGGAAGAGUCAGCUGCAGGCGAGUCAUUAUAUUAUAUUAUGUUACAUAUAAGUUAGUUUACACGAGUUGAUUCAGGUGAGUGGUUAUUUAAUUACUUAUUAAUUAAGAUUAGUUUAUUUGCGUCAAAAAGACCAAGUGACGAGCGAAAUUAUCGAGAAUUCGCGCUGUUUUACGAUGAAAUUUGUCGAGAAAUUGAAAUUAGGAACCCCCCCCUCAUCACUCUAGUUUUUAUGUAUAUCAUGAAGAUGUUGUAUUGAUUCUGUUUGUGUAUCUUUUUUUUCUUGUUUUCUUUUGAAAAUUUGUAUCAUAUCACAUGUUACUAUUAUUCGUGUAUUUUUGUAAUGACCAAUCACGGUUUUUCACUGUCGAGCGGCCGGCGGUGUUUUUUAUUCCAGAUUGGUCAACGUGUUGUAGAAUUAAGUCUGUAUUGAUUUCAUUGCCGUUAAAUUUAAAACGAAUUUCGUUU